CUGCAUUCAGGAGCAUAAAGUGGGAAUUGAACUCAGAAUUCAUGUACUGGAACCUAACUGCCAGUACCUCAGAAUGCGGGUGGAAAUGGAGAUGGGGUCUCUAAACAGAAUGCUUCUCAUUUAGGUCUCCCCUGC
Long non-coding RNA from Ochotona curzoniae (black-lipped pika), 135 nucleotides. RefSeq lists it as uncharacterized. The transcript is spliced from 3 exons. NCBI's taxonomy places the organism in Eukaryota, Metazoa, Chordata, Mammalia, Lagomorpha, Ochotonidae. The record is from RefSeq and is a predicted model, not a curated record.